UUCCGGUUGAUCCUGCCGGACCUUACUGCUAUCGGGGUGGGACUAAGACAUGCGAGUUGAGCGUCUCUAGCUAUGUUGAGACGCAGCAUACGGCUCAGUAACACGUGGCUAACCUACCCUCAGGACGGGGACAAACCCGGGAAACUGGGGCUAAUAUCCGAUAGGCGAGGAAUCCUGGAAUGGUUCUUCACCCAAAGGGCAUUGGAAACAUGCUUUCUCUGUCGCCUGGGGAUGGGGCCGCGACCGAUCAGGUUGUUGGUGAGGUAAUGGCUCACCAAGCCUUUAACCGGUACGGGCCAUGAGAGUGGUAGCCCGGAGAUGGGUACUGAGACAAGGACCCAGGCCCUACGGGGCGCAGCAGUCGCGAAAACUCCGCAAUGCACGAAAGUGUGACGGGGCUACCCCGAGUGCCGUCCGCUGAGGAUGGCUUUUCCUUGGUGUAACUAGCCGGGGGAAUAAGGAGAGGGCAAGACUGGUGUCAGCCGCCGCGGUAAUACCAGCUCUCCGAGUGGUAGGGAUGAUUAUUGGGCUUAAAGCGUCCGUAGCCGGCUUAGCAAGUUUCCUGUUAAAUUCAGCGACCUAAUCGUUGAGCCGCGGGAAAUACUACUAGGCUAGGAGGCGGGAGAGGUCGACGGUACUUCUGGGGUAGGGGUGAAAUCCUAUAAUCCCGGGAGGACCACCAGUGGCGAAGGCUGUCGACUAGAACGCGCUCGACGGUGAGGGACGAAAGCUGGGGGAG
This 739-nucleotide ribosomal RNA is filed under the name uncultured archaeon. RNAcentral describes it as "bacterial SSU rRNA". It matches the Rfam family "Archaeal small subunit ribosomal RNA", at positions 1 to 719 of the family's 1478-position model. The record is from RNAcentral.